RNAcentral lists this ribosomal RNA (331 nucleotides) under uncultured bacterium. RNAcentral describes it as "bacterial SSU rRNA". It matches the Rfam family "Bacterial small subunit ribosomal RNA", at positions 568 to 898 of the family's 1533-position model. The record is from RNAcentral.
CGCGUAGGUGGUUGCGUAAGUCGGAUGUGAAAUCCUGAGGCUUAACCUCAGAACUGCAUCUGAUACUGCGUGACUCGAGUGCAGCAGAGGGAAACGGAAUUCCUGGUGUAGAGGUGAAAUUCGUAGAUAUCAGGAGGAACACCGGUGGCGAAGGCGGUUUCCUGGGCUGACACUGACACUGAGGCGCGAAAGCGUGGGUAGCAAACAGGAUUAGAUACCCUGGUAGUCCACGCUGUAAACGGUGAGUACUGGGUGUGGGAGGUGUAAUGCCUUCUGUGCCGAAGCUAACGCGUUAAGUACUCCGCCUGGGGAGUACGGCCGCAAGGUUGAG